Molecule: ribosomal RNA, 359 nt
Filed under: Clostridioides difficile
Lineage: Bacteria; Bacillati; Bacillota; Clostridia; Peptostreptococcales; Peptostreptococcaceae
Description: partial 23S ribosomal RNA
Rfam family: Bacterial large subunit ribosomal RNA
Source: RNAcentral
GGACAGUAUGGGAGAGAGAAUGUUGGCAUGAGUAGCGAGAUGUGAGUGAGAAUACCACAGGCCGUAAACCCAAGGUGUCCAGGGGAAGGUUCGUCCGCCCGGGGGUAGUCGGGACCUAAGCUGAGGCCGAAAGGCUUAGCGGAUGGACAACAGGUGGAUAUUCCUGUACUACCGAUAACCGUUUGAGAGAAGGGAUGACACAGUAGGAUAAGCUAAGCACACUGUUGGUUAUGUGUGCCCAAGCAUUGAGGCAGUCAAAGUAGGCAAAUCCGCUUUGAUAAUGCUGGGAUGUGAUGGGGAGCGAAAUUUAGUAGCGAAGUAGCUGAUUUCACACUGUCAAGAAAAGUCUCUAUCGAGGU